RNAcentral lists this ribosomal RNA (143 nucleotides) under Erythranthe guttata (spotted monkey flower). Its description in RNAcentral is "Mimulus guttatus (spotted monkey flower) 5.8S ribosomal RNA". It matches the Rfam family "5.8S ribosomal RNA". Rfam says of the family: 5.8S ribosomal RNA (5.8S rRNA) is a component of the large subunit of the eukaryotic ribosome. It is transcribed by RNA polymerase I as part of the 45S precursor that also contains 18S and 28S rRNA. Lineage: Eukaryota; Viridiplantae; Streptophyta; Magnoliopsida; Lamiales; Phrymaceae. The record is from Rfam by way of RNAcentral.
GACUCUCGGCAACGGAUAUCUCGGCUCUCGCAUAGCGAAAUGCGAUACUUGGUGUGAAUUGCAGAAUCCCGUGAACCUUCGAGUCUUUGAACGCAAGUUGAGCCCGAAGCCACUAGGCCGAGGGCACGUCUGCCUGGGCGUCA